UACAGAGGUCUCAAGCGUUGUUCGGAUUCAUUGGGCGUAAAGGGUGCGUAGGUGGCGCUGUAAGUCGGGUGUGAAAUUUCGGAGCUUAACUCCGAAACUGCAUUCGAUACUGCGGUGCUUGAGGACUGGAGGGGAGACUGGAAUUUAUGGUGUAGCAGUGAAAUGCGUAGAGAUCAUAAGGAAGACCAGUGGCGAAGGCGGGUCUCUGGACAGUUCCUGACACUGAGGCACGAAGGCCAGGGGAGCAAACGGG
This 253-nucleotide ribosomal RNA is filed under the name uncultured bacterium. Its description in RNAcentral is "partial 16S ribosomal RNA". It matches the Rfam family "Bacterial small subunit ribosomal RNA", at positions 524 to 776 of the family's 1533-position model. The record is from RNAcentral.